RNAcentral lists this ribosomal RNA (468 nucleotides) under uncultured bacterium. Its description in RNAcentral is "partial 16S ribosomal RNA". It matches the Rfam family "Bacterial small subunit ribosomal RNA", at positions 28 to 507 of the family's 1533-position model. The record is from RNAcentral.
GACGAACGCUGGCGGCGUGCCUAACACAUGCAAGUCGAACGGAAAGGCCCUGCGUUUGUGGGGUGCUCGAGUGGCGAACGGGUGAGUAACACGUGAGUAACCUGCCCUUGACUUUGGGAUAACUUCAGGAAACGGGGGCUAAUACCGGAUAGGAGCUCCUGCUGCAUGGUGGGGGUGGGAAAGUUUCGGCGGUUGGGGAUGGACUCGCGGCUGAUCAGCUUGUUGGUGGGGUAGUGGCAUACCAAGGCAGUGACGGGUAGCCGGCCUGGGAGGGUGACCGGCCACAUUAGGACUGAGAUACGGCCCAGACUCGUACGGGAGGCAACGGUGGGGAGUAUUGCACAGUGGGCGGGAGCCUGAUGCGGCAACGCCGCGUGCGGGAUGACGGCCUGCGGGUUGUGAACCGCUUUCGCCUGUGACGAAGCGUGAGUGACGGUAAUGGGUGAAGAAGCACCGGCUAACUACGUG